Molecule: long non-coding RNA, 1282 nt
Organism: Ctenopharyngodon idella (grass carp)
Lineage: Eukaryota; Metazoa; Chordata; Actinopteri; Cypriniformes; Xenocyprididae
Exons: 4
Source: RefSeq, a predicted model, not a curated record
UGACAUACUACACAUUUACCAGAACAGAAAGUUUAUUUCAACUAAAAGCAUUCUAGCAGGUCACAUUUGUCCUUGAAUCACCUCAUAGUCUCCAAAUGAAAAUGGAAACAUAGCCUCGACCUUGAAGGAAAUGUUGUCAGUGCUAAAAUUAACUAUGUAGCCAAUAAGCUAAAGACGCAAUAAGAACAAGCGAUAGUAGUCAGGUGAAAAUGAAGCACCAAUGUGAAAGGGUGAGCCAGACAAUGUCAGAAAAGAGAAUGAAGACAGACCAGUUUAGAAAACAUCAGCUUUUCCCAGUCUACAGACGCACACAGGGCAAGUUAGCAAGAUAGAAAGUUUGCACCGUAUCAGAAAAAGAUUUGUUUAUCUGAGAAAGUAUCUACUGCAACUCUUCUUCUGAGUACAUCAUAAAAAAGUACAGCUAUUCUCAGAAAGAAAAAAAAAAGGCAUCAUGGAUAGCUCCACAUCAGUGUCGAUUGGGAUAAGUGUGGCAUUUGGGAUUUUGGGAUUGUUCCUGCUGAUUUGUUUGGUGCAGAUCUGCUGCAAGAAAAUCAAAUGCUGCAAGUGCAAAAAGACUUCAGUGAAAGACAAAAUUUUAAAGAAAGUCAGGAUAAAGAAUUUGCCUCCGUUUUCAAUCAGCAGAAUCAUUGAGAAGAAAUAACAGCCAUCACAUAGAUCAAUGCCUGUAAAUAGUGUACAUGCAUCCUGAAAGAAUCUAAUUUAGUCCAUGUUUUCUUUAUUUACAACACUUGUAACUGUAAUUAUUUCCAUGUUAUGAAAGCAUCUGUCAGUUUAUUUAUUAUUUCUGUGAAAAAUGUGAAUCAUGCUUUUGAGGUAAAGGUGUCAGCGAUGGGAUGUGUAUGAUUCAUAACUGAUUGUCACUUUCCCACAGCAAUAGGGAAAAGCAGCACACCUUUGUUUUGAGAUCGCUUCUCUUAGUGUUUUUCUCAUUCUCUUACUCAGAAUGUCUCCAUAUCUUGCUUUUCAGUCUAACCACAAAAACAUAGUGAAGCCUUCUUCUCAAACUGAACCUUUUCCACAUAAAAAUGACUUCAAAGGUCACCGUAUACACUGAUGAAAUACCAGUCUCUUCAGUCAUAGUAGAAAGAUCACAUCAUCCUCAUUGUGUUUUCUAAGCAAGUCUUCUCGGGUGAUAUAUUUUCUGUUAAGCAAUAUUAUGUGUGUGAUAUAAAGUGGAUCUGUACUUGUAUGUCAUCAAAUGUGGUCAUAUAUAUAUAUAUAUCUUCUACGAGGUAAAUAAAUGUAACAAAUCAUGUAAAAA